GACGAACGCUGGCGGCGUGCCUAAUACAUGCAAGUAGAACGCUGAAGCGAGGAGCUUGCUCUUCUUGGAUGAGUUGCGAACGGGUGAGUAACGCGUAGGUAACCUGCCUUGUAGCGGGGGAUAACUAUUGGAAACGAUAGCUAAUACCGCAUAACAAUGGAUGACACAUGUCAUUUAUUUGAAAGGGGCAAUUGCUCCACUACAAGAUGGACCUGCGUUGUAUUAGCUAGUAGGUGAGGUAACGGCUCACCUAGGCGACGAUACAUAGCCGACCUGAGAGGGUGAUCGGCCACACUGGAACUGAGACACGGCCCAGACUCCUACGGGAGGCAGCAGUAGGGAAUCUUCGGCAAUGGGGGCAACCCUGACGGAGCAACGCCGCGGGAGUGAAGAAGGUUUUCGGAUCGUAAAGCUCUGUUAUAAGGCAAGAACGGAUGUGGAAGGGAAAAUGCCAAACUGGAACGGAAGUAUUCAAAAAAGGAACGGUAAAUUACUG
Molecule: ribosomal RNA, 496 nt
Filed under: uncultured bacterium
Lineage: Bacteria
Description: partial 16S ribosomal RNA
Rfam family: Bacterial small subunit ribosomal RNA
Source: RNAcentral